This 833-nucleotide ribosomal RNA is filed under the name Triticum aestivum (bread wheat). RNAcentral's name for it is "partial small subunit ribosomal RNA". Lineage: Eukaryota; Viridiplantae; Streptophyta; Magnoliopsida; Poales; Poaceae. The record is from RNAcentral.
CCUGGACACGUUUUUGUUCAUCAUCCCUUCCUCAAGAAGCAAACCCCAUAUCCCUCCUCUUCUGUCUCUCUCAUCAUCCCUUCCUCAUGAAGCAAACCCCAUAUCCUUCCUCUCGUCGCCUCCGCCCCUUCUCCUCCCUGUUCCUCUCUCCUAGCCGAGCUCCAGCCUUGCUCGUCAUCCCUUCCUCUUGAGAAAGAGCACGGGCCCGUCGUUGUGCCUCAAUAGCCACAAGGACAUCGGGUGGAGGGGAUCCAGUGCGGACGGCGCACGUCUCGGCCCUGUAGCAGGAGCGGGAGGUGUCGGCGGCCCAUCGUUGCGCCUCAGUCGCCACAAGGACAUCGGGUGGAGGGGAUCCGGUGCGGACGGCGCACGUCUCGGCCCCGUGGCAGGAGCGGGGGUGUCGGCGGCGGAGAUGGUCGAUGGGGAGCCUCUUCUUCCCGCGAUCUGGUUCUCCCCAUUCAUGGCCAUUGGCAGGAGGGUCCCCUCGGAUUUAUUCCAUCCUCGGAGGAGGCAACCGCCCUAGGAGGGGCGGUGCACGGGCACGGCUAGCAUGGUGGUCGUGAUGUUGUUCCGCGACUGGUUCGCCUUCGGGUCGGCGCCACAGAUGAGGCCUGCUGUUGCGACCUUGCCCUCGUUCCCGCGGUGACGGACUACCCCCCAAGAUGAAUGGCCCCUUCAAUUCGAAGCCACCGACUAUGCCAUGCGCGAGCUCGUCAUCUAUGUCGACCUCCACUCUGGCUCACGUGGCGCCGACGCCAAGCGGGAGAAGGUGAGUUUGAAUCUGUCCGGUCUUCCUAUUUUGACCCCCCGUCCCUGCCUCUCUCUCUCUCUCU